UACUGACGCUAAAGCUCGAAGGUGCGGGUAUCGAACAGGAUUAGAUACCCUGGUAGUCCGCACGGUAAACGAUGGAUGCCCGCUGUUUGCGAUAUACUGUGAGCGGCCAAGAGAAAUCGUUAAGCAUCCCACCUGGGGAGUACGCCGGCAACGGUGAAACUCAAAGGAAUUGACGGGGGCCCGCACAAGCGGAGGAACAUGUGGUUUAAUUCGAUGAUACGCGAGGAACCUUACCCGGGCUUGAACUGCAGGAGAACGAUACAGAGAUGUUGAGGUCCUUCGGGACUCCUGUGGAGGUGCUGCAUGGUUGUCGUCAGCUCGUGCCGUGAGGUGUCGGCUUAAGUGCCAUAACGAGCGCAACCCUUUUCGUCAGUUGCCAUCAGGUGAAGCUGGGCACUCUGGCGAUACUGCCACCGUAAGGUGUGAGGAAGGUGGGGAUGACGUCAAAUCAGCACGGCCCUUACGUCCGGGGCUACACACGUGUUACAAUGGGGAGUACAGAGAGUCAACCGCCGGCAACGUCGGUUUAAUCAAGAAAGCUCUCCUCAGUUCGGAUUGGGGUCUGCAACCCGACCCCAUGAAGCUGGAUUCGCUAGUAAU
Molecule: ribosomal RNA, 600 nt
Filed under: uncultured bacterium
Lineage: Bacteria
Description: bacterial SSU rRNA
Rfam family: Bacterial small subunit ribosomal RNA
Source: RNAcentral